GUGAGGAAUAUUGGUCAAUGGGCGGGAGCCUGAACCAGCCAAGUCGCGUGAAGGAAGAAGGAUCUAUGGUUCGUAAACUUCUUUUGCAGGGGAAUAAAGUGCGGGACGUGUCCUGUUUUGUAUGUACCCUGAGAAUAAGGAUCGGCUAACUCCGUGCCAGCAGCCGCGGUAAUACGGAGGAUCCGAGCGUUAUCCGGAUUUAUUGGGUUUAAAGGGUGCGUAGGUGGGUUGAUAAGUCAGCGGUGAAAGUUUGCAGCUUAACUGUAAAAAUGCCGUUGAAACUGUCGGACUUGAGUGUAAAUGAGGUAGGCGGAAUGCGUGGUGUAGCGGUGAAAUGCAUAGAUAUCACGCAGAACUCCGAUUGCGAAGGCAGCUUACUAAGCUACAACUGACACUGAAGCACGAAAGCGUGGGGAUCAAACAGGAUUAGAAACCCGUGUAGUCC
This 445-nucleotide ribosomal RNA is filed under the name uncultured bacterium. RNAcentral describes it as "partial 16S ribosomal RNA". It matches the Rfam family "Bacterial small subunit ribosomal RNA", at positions 354 to 796 of the family's 1533-position model. The record is from RNAcentral.